AGAGUUUGAUCCUGGCUCAGGACGAACGCUGGCGGCGUGCCUAAUACAUGCAAGUCGAACGCUUCUUUUUCCACCGGAGCUUGCUCCACCGGAAAAAGAAGAGUGGCGAACGGGUGAGUAACACGUGGGUAACCUGCCCAUCAGAAGGGGAUAACACUUGGAAACAGGUGCUAAUACCGUAUAACAAUCGAAACCGCAUGGUUUUGAUUUGAAAGGCGCUUUCGGGUGUCGCUGAUGGAUGGACCCGCGGUGCAUUAGCUAGUUGGUGAGGUAACGGCUCACCAAGGCCACGAUGCAUAGCCGACCUGAGAGGGUGAUCGGCCACAUUGGGACUGAGACACGGCCCAAACUCCUACGGGAGGCAGCAGUAGGGAAUCUUCGGCAAUGGACGAAAGUCUGACCGAGCAACGCCGCGUGAGUGAAGAAGGUUUUCGGAUCGUAAAACUCUGUUGUUAGAGAAGAACAAGGAUGAGAGUAACUGUUCAUCCCUUGACGGUAUCUAACCAGAAAGCCACGGCUAACUACGUGCCAGCAGCCGCGGUAAUACGUAGGUGGCAAGCGUUGUCCGGAUUUAUUGGGCGUAAAGCGAGCGCAGGCGGUUUCUUAAGUCUGAUGUGAAAGCCCCCGGCUCAACCGGGGAGGGUCAUUGGAAACUGGGAGACUUGAGUGCAGAAGAGGAGAGUGGAAUUCCAUGUGUAGCGGUGAAAUGCGUAGAUAUAUGGAGGAACACCAGUGGCGAAGGCGGCUCUCUGGUCUGUAACUGACGCUGAGGCUCGAAAGCGUGGGGAGCAAACAGGAUUAGAUACCCUGGUAGUCCACGCCGUAAACGAUGAGUGCUAAGUGUUGGAGGGUUUCCGCCCUUCAGUGCUGCAGCUAACGCAUUAAGCACUCCGCCUGGGGAGUACGACCGCAAGGUUGAAACUCAAAGGAAUUGACGGGGGCCCGCACAAGCGGUGGAGCAUGUGGUUUAAUUCGAAGCAACGCGAAGAACCUUACCAGGUCUUGACAUCCUUUGACCACUCUAGAGAUAGAGCUUCCCCUUCGGGGGCAAAGUGACAGGUGGUGCAUGGUUGUCGUCAGCUCGUGUCGUGAGAUGUUGGGUUAAGUCCCGCAACGAGCGCAACCCUUAUUGUUAGUUGCCAUCAUUCAGUUGGGCACUCUAGCAAGACUGCCGGUGACAAACCGGAGGAAGGUGGGGAUGACGUCAAAUCAUCAUGCCCCUUAUGACCUGGGCUACACACGUGCUACAAUGGGAAGUACAACGAGUCGCGAAGUCGCGAGGCUAAGCUAAUCUCUUAAAGCUUCUCUCAGUUCGGAUUGCAGGCUGCAACUCGCCUGCAUGAAGCCGGAAUCGCUAGUAAUCGCGGAUCAGCACGCCGCGGUGAAUACGUUCCCGGGCCUUGUACACACCGCCCGUCACACCACGAGAGUUUGUAACACCCGAAGUCGGUGAGGUAACCUUUUUGGAGCCAGCCGCCUAAGGUGGGAUAGAUGAUUGGGGUGAAGUCGUAACAAGGUAGCCGUAUCGGAAGGUGCGGCUGGAUCACCU
RNAcentral lists this ribosomal RNA (1549 nucleotides) under Enterococcus faecium EnGen0019. RNAcentral's name for it is "bacterial SSU rRNA". It matches the Rfam family "Bacterial small subunit ribosomal RNA". The record is from RNAcentral. Lineage: Bacteria; Bacillati; Bacillota; Bacilli; Lactobacillales; Enterococcaceae.